Molecule: non-coding RNA, 406 nt
Organism: Dermacentor albipictus
Lineage: Eukaryota; Metazoa; Arthropoda; Arachnida; Ixodida; Ixodidae
Source: RefSeq, a predicted model, not a curated record
GCCAAGCAGUGCUGACGCACUUCGCAUGGGCUCCUGCAUUUUUCGGCAAUUUUCCGGACACCUGCUUUUAUUCAUCGACACUGUGGCAUCGACGGAAGCGGCACGGGAAGCGGUACCGGAGGAUGUCAAGUUUAUGAGCGGUCGUGGGUUUCCGUGACUUCUCGUGCUUUGGGGAAUGAUCGCAGCCUGCAGAAAAAGGAAACAAAACCACUGCUGAAACAAGAAGCACUAAAAUACCUAAAAUUACAGCACGAUGCCCUUUUUUCAAGAUGCCUAACCGGAGGGGCACAUCAAAUCGGAUCCUUCACCUGUAUUGUUAUCGGUGAGAUCUAUCCGUGGAAGCCGAAACCAGGACCUCCGUAUCCUCCACCGUGCCAGGCCCUCGGGUACGGCUCCCACCCACCGC